CUGCAGAGGUGCCUUUUGUCUGGCAAGGGGAGCACAGGUGGGGGAUGGGGCUGGCCCCAGCCAGGACAUUGUCUGUGUCACUCAGCAGCAGACUGACUGGCGCCUGCUGCCUGGCCAGCAAUGCUGACCCCUCUGCCUGCCCUAGCCAAUAUUUGAGGUCAGGAGGCAAGUACAGCAUCUGUGGGCAGACGACAGGGCCAAUGGGGUUCUCCUCCAGGCCUUCUGCUGCCACUCUGCUUCCUGAAGCCAGGAGGCCCAGUUCAGGUGCUCCGCCAGGGCUCCCGUGGUCCUGCCUGCAGGGGCGAGGUAGCAGGACCCCCUUGUUUAGCCUCUGCUGCAUCCUUAGCUGCAGCAGGGAGCCUGCCAGGCAGGUGUGCGAUACAAACUCAUCUGGAAGCAUUAAAACAAUGGAAGCAGGUGAGAGCAGAGAGAUCCCGAGCGCAGGUGAGGUGGGGUCCCUGAGGCGGGCUCAAAAGCUGCUUCCCAAGGCAGGGGGGCCCCUAUGUGCCCUCUGAGAGCACAGCCUGCAGACAGAGUCCAGACGUCUCAGGCAGGCCUUUGAGGCCUUCGUGUCAAAGCCCAGUUCUACCACAUCCUAGGGUUAUACUUUCGGCCUGGUGGGAGUCGCUGGUCCCCAGUUGACAGUGUCAUUGGGAAAGUCCAGUGGUAGACCCCGGCACAGCAGGCGCUCAGCAGUGCAGCAGUAUCAUUGCUUAGCCCCACCUCCCUUUCCAGACUCUGCACCCCUCCUCAGGCUCAGAGCAAGGGCCUGCCCCUGCCCCUCCACCGCCCCCUCCUCACUUACCCCUGCGACUCUGCCCAAGCAAGACCUCCCCCUGGAAUUCAUUCAUUUAUCAACUCAUUAUGCAGCCAGCCAGCCAUCGUUUCUUUUUUAUCCACUUUUUCUGAGGGCCUGCUGUGCGCCAGCUGCUGGAGACAUGAAGACAUCGAAGACCCCAGGCCUUGACCUCCAAGAGCCCCCAGUUUGGUGGAAGAAACAAACAAGGAGACUGCAAAACACACCCUGUGAUGGGGAGGGUUGAGGUGGCCAGUGGGAGAGGCGAGCUGGCAGGGCUCAGUGGUGAGGUGAAGGUGUGGGAGCAGGGACACAGCAUGAAGGAGUAGAUGGCCAGGUUGAGCUUUGCAGGCUCCAGGGGGAGGAUAAAGAGCUGACACCUGGAACGUGCUUGGAACAGCAGGUGCUCGGUCAGUGCAGCCACGACCAUCCCGUCCUGCAUCCCCACCAUGAACUUGGACCUUCUGGAAGGACCUUGCUUAUCCCAGCAUCCACACAUCCUUGACCAGACCUGGUCAACAUUUGCUUACCUCUGCCAGCCUCCUCUCACCCAUUCCUGCAUGUGCCGCACCAAUCUGUGUGGAGCGCCCACUCCAGCCAGGCCCUGCUCUAUCAGCAAACUCAGCAGGCAGAACCCCUGCCCCAUGGCGCUGCUUCAGCGUGGUGAGACAGGAACCGCCUGGCUGCUGGGAUGAGAAGAGACUGGAGAGAGACCACGAUGGAAGCCAGGAGGCCAACGAGGAGUUGGGGUAGUCCUCCAGGGAGACAUGAUGUGGCUUCAGCCCCAGUGGUGAUGGCGGGGUAGAGCCAGCAGGGUUCUGAACUGAGUGGAUGUGAAAUGAGGGAAAGAGGGAUGCUGCGGUCGGCAGAAUCGUGCCUCCCGCAAAGAUGCCCCAUCCUAACCCGUCACCCUUGACAGUGAGACCUCCACCACAAAGGGGACUUUGCAGGCAUGAAGGUUAAGGACCCUGAGAGGAGGAGAUGGCCCUGGACUGUCUGGCGGGCCCAGCAUCAUCACAAGGGUGCUUAUAAGUGGAGGAGGAGGCAGGGGGAGCCGAGCAGAUGUGAGGAUAGAAGCAGAGGUCGGAGGGACGUGCUGUUGGCUUGAGAUGGAGGAGGACCUAUGAGCCAAGGAGCAUGGGCGGCCUCUGGAAGCCAGAAAGGGCAAGGCCUCUUCCCGGAGCCUCCAGCAGAACCCAGCCCCGCUGCCACCUCGACUGCAGAACGGUGACACCGUGUCCGAUUCCCGACCUCCAGAACCGUGAGAUAACACGUGUGCUGUUUUAAGCCACUGCAAUUGUGGUAUUUGUCACAGCAGCCAUAGGAAACUGUACGGGGGUUAAAGAGGACCUGCUGACCUCUGAGCUCACACUGAAGCCUCCUGGAAUGCUGUGGGUUGUGAGCUGGGAUGAGAACGCAGCAUGGAGAUGAAAGACGCAUCCACCCAGGAAGGCCCACUGGCAUCGCAAUCUCAGGGAAGAUUCCCAGGCUGAAAAAAGAGAAAGUGGCUGGGGUGGCACUGAAUGCCCCACGUCAAAGAAAUGGCACCCAAGCCGUCCGUCAGUCCCUCACCUGCCACACAGACAGCACCUUGGACCCAGCAAGAUGUCACUCACCACAUUGAUGCUGUCCACAGGCAUCGCCUUGCUUUUGCAGCUCUGUGUGAGAUUUGUCAGCUUGGUUUGGGUCUGGGGCUGUAUUAGAGCUGUCAGCCUAGGAGCCUACCCUAGUUUUGUGUCUGCACUAUUUCCAAAGCACUGGAAUAAAAGGCAUUUUAACCAA
RNAcentral lists this long non-coding RNA (2578 nucleotides) under Homo sapiens (human). RNAcentral describes it as "long independently transcribed non-coding RNA 1488, transcript variant 4 (LINC01488)". The record is from RNAcentral. Lineage: Eukaryota; Metazoa; Chordata; Mammalia; Primates; Hominidae.